CCUACGGGAGGCAGCAGUGGGGAAUAUUGCACAAUGGGGGAAACCCUGAUGCAGCAACGCCGCGUGAGCGAUGAAGGCCUUCGGGUCGUAAAGCUCUGUCCUAAGGGAAGAAUCCAGACGGUACCUUAGGAGGAAGCCCCGGCUAACUACGUGCCAGCAGCCGCGGUAGUACGUAGGGGGCUAGCGUUAUCCGGAAUUACUGGGCGUAAAGGGUGCGUAGGCGGCCCGUCAAGUCAGAGGUGAAAGGCUACGGCUCAACCGUAGUAAGCCUUUGAAACUGAAGGGCUUGAGUGCAGGAGAGGGUAUGAGAAUUACAAGAGUAGCUGUGAAAUACGUAGAUAUUGGGAGUAACACCAGUUGCGAGAGCGGCUCUCUGGACUGUUACUGACGCUGAGGUACGAAAGCGUGGGGAGCAACCAGUAUUAGAUACCCUAGUAGUC
This 440-nucleotide ribosomal RNA is filed under the name uncultured bacterium. RNAcentral's name for it is "bacterial SSU rRNA". It matches the Rfam family "Bacterial small subunit ribosomal RNA", at positions 338 to 795 of the family's 1533-position model. The record is from RNAcentral.